GACGAACGCUGGCGGCGUGCUUAACACAUGCAAGUCGAACGGAAAGGCCCUGCUUUUGUGGGGUGCUCGAGUGGCGAACGGGUGCGUAACACGUGAGUAACCUGCCCUUGACUUUGGGAUAACUUCAGGAAACUGGGGCUAAUACCGGAUAGGAGCUCCUGCUGCAUGGUGGGGGUUGGAAAGUUUCGGCGGUUGGGGAUGGACUCGCGGCUUAUCAGCUUGUUGGUGGGGUAGUGGCUUACCAAGGCUUUGACGGGUAGCCGGCCUGAGAGGGUGACCGGCCACAUUGGGACUGAGAUACGGACCAGACUCCUACGGGAGGCAGCAGUGGGGAAUAUUGCACAAUGGGCGGAAGCCUGAUGCAGCAACGCCGCGUGCGGGAUGACGGCCUUCGGGUUGUAAACCGCUUUCGCCUGUGACGAAGCGUGAGUGACGGUAAUGGGUAAAGAAGCACCGGCUAACUACGUG
Molecule: ribosomal RNA, 468 nt
Filed under: uncultured bacterium
Lineage: Bacteria
Description: partial 16S ribosomal RNA
Rfam family: Bacterial small subunit ribosomal RNA
Source: RNAcentral